RNAcentral lists this ribosomal RNA (468 nucleotides) under uncultured bacterium. RNAcentral describes it as "partial 16S ribosomal RNA". It matches the Rfam family "Bacterial small subunit ribosomal RNA", at positions 28 to 507 of the family's 1533-position model. The record is from RNAcentral.
GACGAACGCUGGCGGCGUGCUUAACACAUGCAAGUCGAGCGGAAAGGCCCUGCUUUUGUGUGGUGCUCGAGUGGCGAACGGGUGAGUAACACGUGAGUAACCUGCCCUUGUCUUUGGGAUAACUUCAGGAAACUGGGGCUAAUACCGGAUAGAAGCUCCUGCUGCAUGGUGGGGGUUGGAAAGUUUCGGCGGUUGGGGAUGGACUCGCGGCUUAUCAGCUUGUUGGUGGGGUAGUGGCUUACCAAGGCUUUGACGGGUAGCCGGCCUGAGAGGGUGACCGGGCACAUUGGGACUGCGGUACGGACCAGUCUCCUACGGGAGGCAGUAGGGGGGAAUAUGACACAAUGGGCGGAAGCCUGAUGCGGCAACGCUCCGUGCGGGAUGACGGCCUUCGGGUGGUAAACCGCUUUGGCCGGUGACGAAGCGUGAGUGACGGUAAUGGGUAAAGAAGCACCGGCUAACUACGUG